AUAUACCAAAUCUAACUGUGUAUGUAGAUUCUUCAUUUUUGGUCCUGUUUUCAAAUUGGUCUACACUAAAGUCCAAAGGGUCCAAAAUUAAACUUAGUCUGAUUUCAACAAAAAUUGAAAUCUUGGGGUUCUUUGAUAUGCUGAAUCCAAAAAUGUACUUAGAUUUUUUAUUAUGGGCCCAGUUUUCAAGUUGGUCCAAAUCAGGAUCUAAAAUUAUUAUAUUAAGUGUUGUGCAAAAGCAAGUCUUUUCAAUUGCACAGUAUUGCGCAAUGGCAAGAAAUAUCUAAUUGCACAAUAUUGUGAAAUAG
RNAcentral lists this long non-coding RNA (308 nucleotides) under Mytilus galloprovincialis (Mediterranean mussel). The record is from RNAcentral. Lineage: Eukaryota; Metazoa; Mollusca; Bivalvia; Mytilida; Mytilidae.